UAAGACGAACCGUGCGAACGUUGUUCGGAAUUAUUGGGCGUAAAGAGCUCGUAGGCGGUGUGUCGCGUCGGCCGUGAAAACCUGCAGCUUAACUGUGGGCUUGCGGUCGAUACGGGCAUCACUGGAGUUCGGCAGGGGAGACUGGGAUUCCUGGUGUAGCGGUGAAAUGCGCAGAUAUCAGGAGGAACACCGGUGGCGAAGGCGGGUCUCUGGGCCGAUACUGACGCUGAGGAGCGAAAGCGUGGGGAGCGAACA
RNAcentral lists this ribosomal RNA (255 nucleotides) under uncultured prokaryote. Its description in RNAcentral is "partial 16S ribosomal RNA". It matches the Rfam family "Bacterial small subunit ribosomal RNA", at positions 521 to 774 of the family's 1533-position model. The record is from RNAcentral.